UUUUAAAAAGAACUUCCAGACUGGCAAUUUUUGAAAAUCCCGGGCUAAAGUAAAUAUCACGGGGGGGGGGGGGGGGCGCACUGGGGUAGACCCUGUGUAGCUUCGGGAGCCAUGCAGAAUUCCCAGCUGUACAGGGAUAUUUUCCGUGCUCACCCUGAGAUAUUUUGACAGUGUAAAAACAGCCUGAGUAACACUCUCUUCCCUGCUUCACCACUACGCAUUCUUAAUUGACAGACAAUACAACUGUGUAUAUUCCCUCAAAAGUGAGUCCAAUUGUGUUCAAUGACUCUUACGCCCACAUAAGUUUACCUAUGAUCGCUGUUUCUUAAGUAGUUGGUUAAUGACCCAGUUUGAAUAUACAUAGUUUGUGUCUUUUGAUAUUAGUGUGUUACUUUUUCCUCCUCAGACAAAUCUUACAACAUAUUUUCUCACUCUGUGUCUUACUUGUUCCCCCUCAGAUCAAAUCUUACAACAUCUCUUCUCACUCUGUUUUUGCAGUCACAUUGAGUUUGUAAAAGAUGGGCUAAAAUAUAUGCGCCUGAAGUUCUACAUUGAAGGCUCAGAGAAAGGAAAACAAGGGACAGUUCAUCUGGAAGUGAAAGAGAAUCCUGAAAGUGGAAAAUAUGAAUAUCGUUACAUAUUUGUGGAUAUUGAUGUCUACCCUAGGAGAACUAUAAUAAUUGAAGACAAUAGAUAAAGAACCAAUUGGAAGAACCCAUUAUUAUUGGGACCCUUCUUCUGUGCCACAAUAAUGCUUAAUAAGUUAACAAAAGUGGGAUGGAUAAACAAAUGAGACCCAGAAGGUUAUUUUAUAUCUUCGUGUAAUAUCAGCAUCAUGCUAGUGGAACGAAUGAUUUAUAUCUACUUCUGUGAAUGAAGUACUCAGAGUAGGAAUAUGUUUUUAAUAGGAAGUGCAAACAGUGUUGAUACACUGAAUAUAAAUUGGCAGCAAACUGUGACAACAGCAAAGCUGUCAAAGAACUGUUAGUGAUAAUUUUACAACAUAUACAUCAGACACUCUCUUCUACAAUUUCAGGAUAAUUUUUCCACUUCACUAUGGACUGCAUAUCUUUAGUACAAAAAAAUGCAACUUGCCAAAUGUGUAGAAAAUCCAUAUUGUACUUUUGUGACCAGUAUUUGAAUACAUAGUCAAAUGUAUUCAGGGGAGGGCGGUCUAUAAGCCCAGUAAAUAAAAUAAAUAUUAUGGUACAGAAUUUCUGAUUGGAUGUUACUCUUUUUAGUAACAUAACUGUCCUGAAUAAAAAAAUUGUGAUUUUUUUUCCUAGUAA
Long non-coding RNA from Sphaerodactylus townsendi, 1289 nucleotides. RefSeq lists it as uncharacterized. The record is from RefSeq and is a predicted model, not a curated record. The transcript is spliced from 2 exons. Lineage: Eukaryota; Metazoa; Chordata; Lepidosauria; Squamata; Sphaerodactylidae.